This 132-nucleotide ribosomal RNA is filed under the name Monodelphis domestica (gray short-tailed opossum). Lineage: Eukaryota; Metazoa; Chordata; Mammalia; Didelphimorphia; Didelphidae. The record is from RNAcentral.
GUCUAUGGCCAUACCACCCUAAACCUGCCUGAUCUCAUCUGAUCUUGGAAAUUAAGCAGGUUUGGCCCUGGUUAGUACUUGGUUGGGAGAAAUUAAAUAUAAGUUAGUGAGGGAAAGCAGGAGGGGGAGUAA